AUAGCCUUACCGAAAGGAAGAUUAAUACCGCAUAAUAUAAUUGAACGGCAUUCGUUUUAAUUAUACAAACGUCGAGGGUUGAAGAGUGGGCAUGCGUCCGAUUAGUUUGUUGGUGAGGUAACGGCUCACCAAGACUACGAUCGGUAGGGGAUCUGAGAGGAUGACCCCCCACACUGGUACUGAGACACGGACCAGACUCCUACGGGAGGCAGCAGUAAGGAAUAUUGGUCAAUGGACGCAAGUCUGAACCAGCCAUGCCGCGUGCAGGAAGACGGUCCUCUGGAUUGUAAACUGCUUUUGUUAGGGAAGAAACCCUCGGAUGCGUUCGAGGCUGACGGUACCUAAAGAAUAAGGAUCGGCUAACUCCGUG
Molecule: ribosomal RNA, 370 nt
Filed under: uncultured bacterium
Lineage: Bacteria
Description: bacterial SSU rRNA
Rfam family: Bacterial small subunit ribosomal RNA
Source: RNAcentral